GGCAAUCCUCGGUUGCCCAGGAAACACAGAUGGUGGAUAAAGGGGUUGCAUACAAAAGACCAUAAACCUGUAGCAGCAGCUGGAGACCGAGAGCCGCUCAUUCUCUCAGGACUGCGCAGUCCCGCUCAUUCAAAGGAGCCUCUGUUCUCAUUAAUACCUUCGCUUCAUCAUCUUUGUCCAAAGCUUCCUGCUCCACUUUGUCCUGCGCCCCCACCCCAUCCCCGCCAACCGAACUGCCGUCUCCCCCGUCAGUGCGCAGCUGCUGCUGGCACUCCCACAUCUGCUUGUUUCAGCUCGGCGGCCAUGAAGAGGACGCCGAGCCUCGGCUCACGGUGAACGGCUGGAGACUCGGUCCGAGCAGCGACCUCCUUUAUGUGGUGAAGGCAGAUAAACUGCGCCAACACUGCGGGUAUGCGCAUGUUGAGCAGCUUUCUCCCGGGAUGGAGGGAUAAGCGGAAGAAAAGGAAGAAGCCAUGAUCUCUUCGCACCCUUUUAAUGCUGCGGGACAGGUGGAACCUGAAGAUCCAUGGGUUGACUGAGCAUCCCUCAUGUUUUACACUCUGACCAGCGUUGUACGGACUGGACUCGUCCCCAGAGCUGCUGACAUGGCACCAAACAGGACUCUGGGAGGAUCCAACGACAGGGCAGGUUAUGUGUUAUCUUUGUUAAAAUUGCUGGAGCAGAUUAAUCUUCACAGAUCAGUUUCUGGUCAUUUAGUUAUCAGUGUUAUGUUUUUGCUCGCGUAUAAUGAAACGCUCUGACGGGAAAGAACAGGAGCCAGAUCCCUUUGGGGAUCUUGAUAGGACAGUUGGGUUGCGUCCCACUUUUCUGCUGCUUUGUGUUGUGUGUCCCUUCUCCAGUUACACUGAUGAAAAAGCAGAUUUGGCCUCAACCAGAUCCCAUUGUGCCCCAGCUGGCGUUCCUCCAUCUCCUCUGCUGCGCUGCCUUACAGAGCGGUACUGAAUCUGCCACUUUCAUGUGCCGGAGACUUGUGCCGUGAUGCGUCUUCGAAGGAAAACCUUCAGCACUAGUGUGUCUCUCUACCAAGAGGCGACUUCUGCCUCUGUUCAUCAGCCAAGAGAAUUAAGCCAUUGCUUUGUUUAAUCAUGUGUGGCUGCUGGGAGGGACUUCAUUCAGAACCGUUUACUGCUCUGUUAAAGCUGUUUUAUAGCUUAAUUCAGUCCCUCUCCUGUUUCUAUUUCUGUUGAUUAGAUGCAUGGAAACCUUUACUGUAAAUCAACUCCACCUGAGUUACAUUUUCUUGCAAUUGAUCAUUUCUUCCCAAGCUUUCACCUGUUUAUGUAAUGUUACCUUUUGUGUCUUUUUGUGAAAACUGGCCUCCAGUGUUUCCAGAUCCAAAUCUAUGAGGGGUUUAUGUUCAAGGCCUGUAUGAACAAAAAUAUUACAUGCUAGUGUGUGAAAAUGACGGAUGUUCUCACCUUCUAAUAAUGUGUAAAUCACACAUUUCUGUUUGUUGAGAAACCUCCCGAGCGCAAUGCGAAACCAGCUAUUUUUACUGUACUAUUCUGCAGUUGAACUGUAGGGUGUGUGUGUGUGUGUGGGAUGAAUGCGUGAGGGGGUGUGUGGGAGAGUGCAUGUGUUUCUCUGCAUGCGCUCCAUCUGUGUUAGUGGCAGUACCUGUGCACGUGUGUCUCAUCAGUCCGAUAAGAUGUGUCUGUAAAGGGCCUGAAACUGCCGCUACUAUCCUUUAUAGCCACUGGAUGUACCAGAUAAGGGAUAAAACAUUAUUUACUGAUGAUUCUUAGCAUUUGUUACAUUUGUUCAUUAAAAAAUGAAAGAAAAUAAAACUGUGCUACUUGUGAUUUAGAUCACAAGGAUGUCAUUGGAAAUUAGUGUGGUGCAGUUUUCUCAAUGAUGCCUGCUGGCAAAAGUCAGACGGUUUCAGUGUCAGCAGCCCCAUCAUUUAACACUUAAGCAAAUUACAGCAAAUGCUAAUAAUGAUGUGUAAAUAGCCUUUUACCCACGUCUGGAUUGCACUAACAAUAUCUGACUAAUAUCUAACAGUACUAACGUCUGCUAACAGUUGAAGGAGUACUAACCCGUGUUGAGAAUGCAGACGGCUUGCAUUUCUAACCCACUAACUUCCCUUUUUGCUUUAUGCUCACUUCAAGAUGCACACUUCUCUUGCAUGAUCCUGCAAUCCUUCUGUUAGAGGUGUCCAACUCGGAGAUCCUAAAGCGAGCAUGGAAAGAAGGGUUUCAGGACCGGGGAAGGGCAACGUUGAAAACCGAACAGCUUGAAGAAAAGCCGCAGCAGCAGCAGCUGCUGAGGUCAAACUCGGUUGACCACAUACUGAAGCUGGAAAAGUGUAAUCUGAUCCCAAGUGAUUUCAUUUUAAAGGCUAAAUUUGCAUGUUUUUUUUUUUAUAAAGCAGUUUUCUCUCUCUCUGAUUGUAUUCUGUGUGGUCAACCCGGCCUUUUUGUCCCUGUAGGUAGUAACUAACUCCUAAUAGUGCUCAUACUAACAAUGCAGAGGCUGUAUCGGACCAUCUGCCACUCUUACUAACAUCUUCUUGUCAUCUGAUUGAUUUCACGUUGAUUAAAGCAUGCGUUGUGGUACCAGUGGUGCUGAUUAUAAGACAGUCAACUGGCUUUCCCUUCUCCCCCGAAAGCAUCAACUUUCCCAAGUGUGUUUUAAGAGCUGAGUUGAGGUUUUAUCUCUUAAAAAGCAACUUAAAUGUUACUAACCAGAGGAGCUUCCAAAAGCUCUGCAAACUAACAAACUAACCUACUAAUAAACUAAUUUUCUAACCUUAACUAACUGAAAUCACUAACUGUGUUUUUAAUGUGACAGUCACCAGAGCACCUUCAAACCGAGGAGCUGCAUCGCUUACUGAAUGUAUUUAAGUGUGUUUGAACGGAUGUUUGAGAAGAAAGAGUGCGUGCUGCAGUCAAAAUCACCAAUACUUUUUAUAUAAUUGUCAUUAAAAAUACUUUCUAAAGUUA
Xiphophorus maculatus (southern platyfish) is the source of this 2966-nucleotide long non-coding RNA. RefSeq lists it as uncharacterized. NCBI's taxonomy places the organism in Eukaryota, Metazoa, Chordata, Actinopteri, Cyprinodontiformes, Poeciliidae. The transcript is spliced from 4 exons. The record is from RefSeq and is a predicted model, not a curated record.